CCUACGGGAGGCUGCAGUGAGGAAUAUUGGUCAAUGGACGAGAGUCUGAACCAGCCAAGUAGCGUGAAGGAUGACUGCCCUAUGGGUUGUAAACUUCUUUUAUAUGGGAAUAAAGUGUUCCACGUGUGGGAUUUUGUAUGUACCAUAUGAAUAAGGAUCGGCUAACUCCGUGCCAGCAGCCGCGGUAAUACGGAGGAUCCGAGCGUUAUCCGGAUUUAUUGGGUUUAAAGGGAGCGUAGGUGGAUUGUUAAGUCAGUUGUGAAAGUUUGCGGAUCAACCGGAAAAUUGCAGUUGAAACUGGCAGUCUUGAGUACAGUAGAGGUGGGCGGAAUUCGUGGUGUAGCGGUGAAAUGCUUAGAUAUCACGAAGAACUCCGAUUGCGAAGGCAGUUCACUGGACUGCAACUGACACUGAGGCUCGAAAGUGUGGGUAUCAAACAGGAUUAGAUACCCUUGUAGUC
This 460-nucleotide ribosomal RNA is filed under the name uncultured bacterium. RNAcentral's name for it is "partial 16S ribosomal RNA". It matches the Rfam family "Bacterial small subunit ribosomal RNA", at positions 338 to 795 of the family's 1533-position model. The record is from RNAcentral.